Molecule: non-coding RNA, 26 nt
Filed under: Bombyx mori (domestic silkworm)
Lineage: Eukaryota; Metazoa; Arthropoda; Insecta; Lepidoptera; Bombycidae
Source: RNAcentral
CUUCGGUUGAUGAUGAAGACGGUGAA